RNAcentral lists this ribosomal RNA (527 nucleotides) under Babesia vogeli. RNAcentral describes it as "SSU rRNA". It matches the Rfam family "Eukaryotic small subunit ribosomal RNA", at positions 185 to 794 of the family's 1831-position model. Lineage: Eukaryota; Apicomplexa; Aconoidasida; Piroplasmida; Babesiidae. The record is from RNAcentral.
CGGUUUGAGCACUAGACGKSUUUYAUGCGUUUGAAACCCGCCUUGGCUUUCGGUGAUUCAUAAUAAACUGGCGAAUCGCAUUUAGCGAUGGACCAUUCAAGUUUCUGACCCAUCAGCUUGACGGYAGGGUAUUGGCCUACCGAGGCAGCAACGGGUAACGGGGAAUUAGGGUUCGAUUCCGGAGAGGGAGCCUGAGAGACGGCUACCACAUCUAAGGAAGGCAGCAGGCGCGCMAAUUACCCAAUCCUGACACAGGGAGGUAGUGACMAGAAAUAACAAUACAGGGCUAAUGUCUUGUAAUUGGAAUGAUGGUGACCCAAACCCUCACCAGAGUAGCAAUUGGAGGGCAAGUCUGGUGCCAGCAGCCGCGGUAAUUCCAGCUCCAAUAGCGUAUAUWAAACUUGUUGCAGUUAAAAAGCUCGUAGUUGAAUUUUAGCGUGUUCGAGUUUGCCAUUCGUUUGGCUUUUUCGAGUUCGCUUUUGGGUUUUCCCUUUUUACUUUGAGAAAACUAKUGGUUUUYMAAGCAA